RNAcentral lists this ribosomal RNA (487 nucleotides) under uncultured bacterium. Its description in RNAcentral is "partial 16S ribosomal RNA". It matches the Rfam family "Bacterial small subunit ribosomal RNA", at positions 28 to 507 of the family's 1533-position model. The record is from RNAcentral.
GAUGAACGCUAGCGAUAGGCUUAACACAUGCAAGUCGAGGGGCAGCACAAGGUAGCUUGCUAUCUGGGUGGCGACCGGCGCACGGGUGCGUAACGCGUAUGCAACUUGCCCUAUACAGGAGGAUAACCCGUCGAAAGACGGACUAAUACUGCGUAUGCUCACAACUUGGCAUCAAGUGGUGAGGAAAGAAAUUCGGUAUAGGAUAGGCAUGCGUCCCAUUAGCUUGUUGGUGAGGUAACGGCUCACCAAGGCAACGAUGGGUAGGGGAACUGAGAGGUUUAUCCCCCACACUGGUACUGAGACAAGGACCAGACUCCUACGGGAGGCAGCAGUGAGGAAUAUUGGUCAAUGGGCGCGAGCCUGAACCAGCCAAGUCGCGUGAAGGAUGACUGUCUUAUGGAUUGUAAACUUCUUUUAUACGGGAAUAACAAGAGUCACGUGUGACUCCCUGCAUGUACCGUAUGAAUAAGCAUCGGCUAACUCCGUG